This 876-nucleotide ribosomal RNA is filed under the name uncultured crenarchaeote. RNAcentral describes it as "bacterial SSU rRNA". It matches the Rfam family "Archaeal small subunit ribosomal RNA", at positions 21 to 903 of the family's 1478-position model. Lineage: Archaea; Thermoproteati; Thermoproteota. The record is from RNAcentral.
ACCUGACUGCUAUCGGAUUGAUACUAAGCCAUGCGAGUCUUUGCAGUAAUGCAAGGCAUACGGCUCAGUAACACGUAGUCAACUUACCCUAUGGACGAGGAUAAUCUCGGGAAACUGAGCAUAAUACUCGAUAGAUCAUAAUGCCUGGAAUGGUUUAUGGUUAAAAUGAUUCGUCGCCAUAGGAUGGGACUGCGGCCUAUCAGCUUGUUGGUGAGGUAAUGGCCCACCAAGGCGAUUACAGGUACGGGCUCUGAGAGGAGAAGCCCGGAGAUGGGUACUGAGACAAGGACCCAGGCCCUAUGGGGCGCAGCAGGCGAGAAAACUUUGCAAUGUGCGAAAGCACGACAAGGUUAAUCCGAGUGAUUUCUGCUAAAGAAAUCUUUUGCAAGUCAUAAAACCACUAGUGAAUAAGGGGUGGGCAAGUUCUGGUGUCAGCCGCCGCGGUAAAACCAGCACCUCAAGUGGUCAGGAGGAUUAUUGGGCCUAAAGCAUCCGUAGCCGGCUCUGUAAGUUUUCGGUUAAAUCCAUGUGCUCAACGCAUGGGCUGCCGAAAAUACUGCAUAGCUAGGGAGUGGGAGAGGUAGACGGUACUCGGUAGGAAGGGGUAAAAUCCUUUGAUCUAUCGAUGACCACCUGUGGCGAAGGCGGUCUACCAGAACACGUUCGACGGUGAGGGAUGAAAGCUGGGGGAGCAAACCGGAUUAGAUACCCGGGUAAUCCCAGCUGUAAACGAUGCAGACUCGAUGAUGCAUUGGCAUAUAGCCAGUGCAGUGUCGCAGGGAAGCCGUUAAGUCUGCCGCCUGGGAAGUACGUACGCAAGUAUGAAACUUAAAGGAAUUGGCGGGGGAGCACCACAAGGGGUGAAGCCUGCGGUUC